Molecule: long non-coding RNA, 741 nt
Filed under: Gossypium barbadense (sea-island cotton)
Lineage: Eukaryota; Viridiplantae; Streptophyta; Magnoliopsida; Malvales; Malvaceae
Description: long non-coding RNA (GBAR_LNC018233)
Source: RNAcentral
CAUCUGAGGGAAUAUUUUGCCCCUUAGUAGAUGCUGUGAUAGGUGUUGCACCCUUUUGGUUCUUAGGCCCCUUAGCCCUAGGUCCCCUGUUCAAUUCAUUAAAACCGUCCAUGAUAUCAUUGCCUGAACCAAAAUAACCAUUGCCCCGUCCCCUUGGUCUGUACUUGUUGUCUGCCAACCAACCCCUUUCAUUUGUUCGCAAAUCAUAACCAUUAGAUCCAAAGCCCAUUCCAGAUCUGAAUGUGGUCCCAUACUGGCCAUAUGGUUUGUUUGGGUACAUUCUAUUGACAUAACCAUGAGCUGUGCCCAUGCCGGACAUUGUCCCAGGGUGGUGCAGUCCCUUUAAAUUCAAAAGUAUGAUGAUUAGAAGCAAAAAUUCAAAAGAAUAUAACACCAAGAGAACUAAGAAGAUCGCAUAACAUAACAAUACAAAGGAAAUUCUUAGAAAAGCCAAAUCAUGCAUACCAUGUAAUUAGAAUUCGAUCUGAAGUUUUGAUUCCUUGAAGAUGGAAAACCAUUUGCUUUUGAAACCAAAGAGUUCAUUGCAGGGCUUGAGACGGGCCUGUGCUGCCCAUCUGAAAACAUAGAGCCAUCAAGCCAUGGGAUAGGAGAUCGAAACCCAUCAAAACCGUAUCUUGGAUCCUGAUAUCCGGAGGUUGGGACACUUCCAGGUGGAGGUCCCCUUCCAUAAGAAUUAUUGGUAUUAAAUGAGCUGGGGUAUGAUGGUUUUAUUGCGCCUGG